ACUUUUUGUAAAGUGAUUUUAAAGACGACAGGAUGAAGGGAAUGUGUCCGAGGAUGGAGAGAAGAAGAGAAAUGCAGAGGGGAGGGCGUGAGCUCACCAAGACUGAAAGCUAAUCGAAGGCCGAAGAAAAUAACUUGUUUACUGUGACGGGUGAAUGGACACUGCACGCACAGUGAUGCAAUGACAAGCAGCGUGACAGCGUGACGUAGUGACAGCAUGACAGCGUGACAGAGUAACAGUAUGACAGUGUCACAUAGGAGCAGUGUGACUGCGUAGGUCUGUUUCACACUGACUGUUCUGCCACCAGGACAUCAACAACACCACCAAGCCUCGGGGCCCAGGAGAGACACGAUGAGAACUCUGCUUCUCUGCUGAACAGCGAUACACAAAUCCGGUUCCUGGGAGCGGGUUUGGGAUUUGGGAAAUCCAUGCUUAUCUGCCUUCUCUUUCUAAAUUCCAAAUCCGAAAUGCCAGCUUCAGGAAUCAGUGACUUUUCUUUGCUUUCUCUAUUUAUUUGGCCCCAGUAUUUGAUACCCCACGCACACCACUCACAGACACAGAGCAGUCCUUUCACUUUUACAGACAGCAGUGUUGACACACACAGAAACAAAACAGGGUGCAAUAUAUUGAAGAAAAAAAAGUGAAAUAUAUGGAUUCAUAUAUUUAUAUCAAAUUUAUAUUUAUAUAUCUAUAUUUAUAUCAAAUAUAAUGUAUAACAUGUAUAAAACAAUAUGUCAAUAUUUGAAAAUAUAUUGCAAAGUAUAUGACAUAUAUUAAAAUAUAUUGGUAAAUAUAUUUCACAUGCACACAAAGUGGCAUUUGUCUGUGUAUCGUUCCGUAUAUAUUUGACUUUGUAAAGUCAAACGAAUCAAUAUACUGUGAUUGAUCCAAUAUUAAUUAUUGCUGUGUUGUAUAUGCAAAUAUAAAGAUGUUGGAGACAUAUUGGCAAACCAAAAGCAACACAAAAAUAUAUUAGAUAUUAGAUUAUUUAGUUAUUUUAAUUUAAAAUUAGAAAAAAAAGCAACAAAACCAAAUAGCAAAUCCUGACUAAGAUUAUUAUAUUUCUUGAUUUGAUUCAAAUUUCUUGUUUUCCAAAUUUUAUUUACAAGGGAAAAAAAUGAAUUAAGAUGAUUGGAUGAUUCUGGCAAUCCAAUAUUCUCGCCUUGGACGGUUGCAAGAGAACUAAUAGAAGUUUUGAUGAUUCAAUUGACCAGAGCCACAGCCUGCGGGGGCUGGAUGCAGACACGAUUGAUUCCUCGCGAAAAACAAAACAGCAGGUUGCUUUUCUACAGAUGACUUGUGCCUCCAGUGGGAUCCUUGUAAUUUGAGGUUAAACUACAGCUCUUGUGGCUGCAGGCUGGAUGCUCCCUCUAGUGGAGGCUAUGUUAGAGCACUGUGGCUCCCCUAAUUACACUACAAAAGCAUGCCAGCGCAGGGCCACAGACACUUUCAAACGUGGAGGAUAUUUGAGCCCGUCAGUGAGAGAGUGAGAGGGCGAGAGAGAUCAGGCUGAUUUUGUGCCACUGGCAUGAGCUGAUGGCUCCCGACAAGCCGAUUGAAAAUCAUCUUUGAAAUCUCGUUGGGGUCGAAUUGCUCGGAUCAGAUGAUGUUGUCUUUGUUUUAAUUUCGCGAGCUGGUUUAGAUAGCGGGCUGGUAUCUGCUCAAGGGAGCGUUGACCAGGGUCCUCUCUCCGCGCUCCAUUAUAUUACCCAGUCCCCGGCCCGUGGGGGAGACAGAGAGAGGUUCAGAUAUAACCCCUGUUUGAAUCGGUGGAGUUACUGUGUGGCUGGUGAGUGCUGGAACAGGGACUCUGUAAAUAGUGUAUACAUUUCAGUGCAUCAUUAUAUAGAUGGAAUAGUUUUGUGACCAAUCAGCUGCUGCUCCCGGAGAGAUGAACCCCACAGACCUGGCACAGGGGGCUGCCGAGGGCAUCUUGUUUUAUUAUUAUUAUUAUUAUUAUUAUUAUUAAUAAACAGAAACCGCAGACCUCGACUCACAUAGACUAUGUUUUGCUGAACUGCUGAGUUUUUUGUCUAUGAAUGAGUUCAUGCAUGGAUUAAGUUAGGUAUUUAUUUUCAUGUACAAUUACCUGUUUUGUUGAAGUAGAUUUGUUUUUAACUAUAAUAAAUGGUUUCAUUUCAAGUGUCUGGGAUAGCAGUUUAUAACAUGGGGAGUUUCAGUCAAGACAAUACUCUCUCCGAGGGAAACUGCGCCUUGGUCACUUUAUAGGUAAUAUAAGAUAAAAGAAUAUUCAUUAUAUCUAGAUAUUUAUUAAUAAAAAAGAAAUGUUUAAAAAAAAUAGUUUUUAGUGUUGUCCAGACGAUUUCUCAUUUCUGUUUUUCUUGAGUAUACCUGUAACUAAUGUUGUUGCUAAUGCGACCAAUUGAGAAUUUAUAAAUCUGUAGAAGUUGAGAAUGCUGCUAAUCUAUAUAGUUUCAUUUAUACUGUAUACAGAAAAAAGAAAAAAAAGGGUUGACGUAUAUACAUAUCAGCAACAGGAGCUACAGAUACAGAGGGCAGGCUGGGGAAGCUGGUACACACACACACACAGAGGUGCAGAGAACUCACACACACACAGAGGUGCAGAGAACUCACACACACACAGAGGUGCAGAGAACUCACACACACACACACACACAGAGGUGCAGAGAACUCACACACACACACAGAGGUGCAGAGAACUCACACACACACACACACAGAGGUGCAGAGAACUCACACACACACACACACACAGAGGUGCAGAGAACUCACACACACACACACACACACAGAGGUGCAGAGAACUCACACACACAGACGUGCAGAGAACUCACACACACACACACACAGACGUGCAGAGAACUCACACACACACACACAGACGUGCAGAGAACUCACACACACACACACACACAGACGUGCAGAGAACUCACACACACACAGAGGUGCAGAGAACUCACACACACACACACACACACACACACACAGAGCUGCAGAGAACUCCCUUCCGCCAUCUAUUGCUAAUGAUUUACAAUCUAAUACAUUCAAUCAGUAGCUGAAGCCAAGUUCAAUAUUGCUGAUGAGCAGCAAGAAAUACCUGCGAGACAGAGAAGCCUGCCCCACCCCCCCGGACUGUGAUUGGCUACCUGAGCUUCUAUAAAAGGGCAGAACAAAAGCAGGCAUGGCUAACCCAUACAGUGUAUAUAUAGAUAGUUAACCCUAUCAGAUCUUAUCGAUUCCCCUGGACUUCUACCUUGUCUGUGUGGGUGUCCCUGUACGGUGUUUUAGAUAAGCAGUUCUCACUGGGAAUGAAUUAGCUCUGCAGAUACCAGACGCGCAGUGCUGUGUGCUGCACUGCCGUUACGGAUUCUCUCCCUUCGGUGAGAAGAGGUGCGCAGGGCCGCCGGUUCACACCCUGCCUCAAGUGCAAAGUGUUCAGACUUUUCUUUGAAUGCAUAUUUGAAGCAUCAGUGGACAGCGUUGUUUGUUCGUUCGUUCGUUUGUUUAAGCAGUCUGCAUUGACACGUAGGUGCAUGGGAAUUCCUGUCUCCCGGUUAAGAUGUGACUUGACUGCGAGACCGGGCGCGCGAGUGUGUGUGUGUGCGGCUCGCCGUAGCCUGUGAGAGAUGCAGUGAUUAUUUCAGCCACUAGGGCGGCGGUGUUCAGGUGCAUCAGAGACUUUAUAAACACUUACGUCACGUGUGUGUGGGCAGGGUUUGGGAGGUCAAGCAAGUUUAUUAUUCAUGGAAGCUGCACUAAAACUACUUUGCCCUACAGAUAUGGGUUUGGGAGUAAAGUAACCAUUUUGUAAGUUUAUGUCAGACCGAUCUGAAAAAAAAAGUGCAAUAUUUAAAUCUUGGUUUUAUUUGAAAAGAUAAUGUUAUAUAUAUAUAGGAGAAGAUAUGGGAGCUACUUUUCAGUUGUAAUUCAGGACACACCCCCUUCCAGGAUAUUAAGCUCCACCCCCCCACUCAGUUCUCCAAUCAGAGGAAACCUGCUGGCAUUCUCAGAACAUUCGAGUAACUCCUGCUGCACCUUCUCAUCUUUCAGUGGAGUCCCAUUAGUAAUCACCUGCUUCUCUCCCUCCCUCCUUACCACCCCAGUACUGUACACGUGCUUGUGAGAUCAUUCUGAGUAUUUGAUUAAAGACAAACGAGAGCUUCCAAAGCUGGGAUGCACUCUGCUAAAACUGCAAAAACCACAGCCAGGUAUUCCUCACGGGAUAUUGUCACUGACGACCGGAUUUCUGUUUGCAGAGAUUCCGAACAAAUGGGAUUGCUGCAUCAAUGAUACAAUAAUACAAGCUUAAUGUACAGGCUUCAGUCCUGUCCUAAGGUAAGAUGGACCCAUUGUGCUACACCAGGCAGAUGGGCACUGAUUGAAAAUCAAAUCACACUGUGUAAUACAAUUGCAGCGCAGUGGCUUUUUUGGAAUAUCAAUUUUUCUUUGCCUGCACAUCUUAUUCAGGACUUCCAACUUGCCUUCAAAGCAAAACAAAAAUGCAAAAAAACAUGUUAAAAAAAAAAAAAAGAAAAGAAAAAGGGCUGAAAAUGCAUUAAUAUUUUCUCUUUUCACCAUUGAAUUACACAAGAGUUUAGUCCUCUCCUGCAUGUGGGACGGUUCUGCCAGACCCAGUUAGGGGUCAAGUCAGAGUCCGAGCAGGGGCUUUCAAUGCAGAACUCCUUGCUAUCGGGAGUGGGGGACACCGGCCCAGCGCAGACACUUUCUCAUUCAUUUAUUCUGGGUUUGGUUUUCAGUUUCCAAACUCUGGAAGGGGUGUGGGGAGAGCAAAAGCUCCUCCUACAGUUUUAGCAGAGCGGCAGGCCAGUUUGUUUCAUCUUAAAAAAACGCAUGCAAAUGUCCUACAGAGGUAGUAGUUCUUAUUGAAGUGUGUUUAUCUGCAUACAGUAUUUGGUUGAUCGUUGUUGGAUUGUUUCCGUUUUGUUUCCUUUGGUUGGAGUUGUACAGCUAGGCUGUAGACAAACAUAUCAAGGGUUUGGAAAGCACAGGAUGGGAGACACAAGGGUGUCGCACCAAUUCUCUUAGGAUGCCCACCGAAACAGCACGGCCUUCUCCAAAUCAACACAUUCCCAAACUAAAAAUGGACAAAAUGAGGGCAACGCUCCACAGCAAGAAUCACGACCCAAUCUGUAGCCUGCAGUUCUCACUCAAAGAGGGGGAAGGCAGUCUGCCAACUACAGGAAAUGUCUUAAGUUAAACUCCUUCAUGACGAAGAAUAAAAUGUUUUAAAAAUAUAUAUAUAAUACUGUAUAUAAUUACAUAUGCUUUUUUUUCUAAUGUUGUAUUGGUAGUAUCGUAGACGCUGAGUGACUCUGCAAACAGUGCAUCUUAUCUCCAGUAUGAAUACAAGUGCUGCUUUCACCGAGAUGAGUGUCGAGUCGCAGCCUGCUAGCAUGUGCAUGCAUUUUUUUUACCAAUAGACCAAACUGCGACUGGUCAUUUGUGCGCAUGCAGUGAUAGGGAGGUGCAGGACCUGCGCUUUCUGACACACAAUUAUUUUAUUUUUAUAUAUAAUAUAUAUUCAUUUUUGUUAGUUGUGUUCAGUUACAAAAAAAAAAAAAAAAAAUUACAAUUCCCCCACCUUGGCCAUUAAAUGAGGGAGUUUAGCUUAGGAGUCACAUCACAUGUCGCUCGACAAUUUCCAAAAUGUCCUGGAACCCUCUCCCAUCCCGUACAGCCAACCAAAACCCAGAACGAGAGCCAAGACUGUCCUCUCCGGGUAUACCGGAGAGGCAGAUUUCCAACUGCUUGUUUGUUUUAUGUUUUAUUCACAGGUGUGUAAUACACAUUUUGUAUGAAUGUUUUCACAGUAGGGUCUCAUUUAGAGCACAGAAAAUAUUAUCUAAAGAACCACGACAUGUAGAUGUUUUAUGUUUUUAAAAAUGCGAGCGGGUUGUUUUCUGCUCUACCUUCUUAGGUGCAGUACUUCUGUAGACCUGUAGUGUUUCUUUGUGGUUUCAGUUCUUAUUGUGUGCAAUAUGCAAAUGGAAGAUCUGUAAAUAAAUCAAAAGAAAAAAAAAAGUGCUAGCUGAUGUGUUGGUGUGAGUUGAAUAUUUAAAAAAAAAAAAAAAAAAAAAGGGUUAUUCUUGAUUAUGUGUUAACUGAUAAAUAUAUAUAUAUAUAUAUA
Acipenser ruthenus (sterlet) is the source of this 6130-nucleotide long non-coding RNA. RefSeq lists it as uncharacterized. The transcript has 2 exons. The record is from RefSeq and is a predicted model, not a curated record. NCBI's taxonomy places the organism in Eukaryota, Metazoa, Chordata, Actinopteri, Acipenseriformes, Acipenseridae.